This 253-nucleotide ribosomal RNA is filed under the name uncultured bacterium. RNAcentral describes it as "partial 16S ribosomal RNA". It matches the Rfam family "Bacterial small subunit ribosomal RNA", at positions 524 to 776 of the family's 1533-position model. The record is from RNAcentral.
UACGCAGGGUGCAAGCGUUACUCGGAAUUACUGGGCGUAAAGCGUGCGCAGGCGGUUUCGUAAGUCUGUCGUGAAAUCCCCGGGCUUAACCUGGGAAUGGCGAUGGAGACUGCGAGGCUAGAGUUUGGCAGAGGGGGGUAGAAUUCCACGUGUAGCAGUGAAAUGCGUAGAGAUGUGGAGGAACACCGAUGGCGAAGGCAGCCCCCUGGGUCAAAACUGACGCUCAUGCACGAAAGCGUGGGGAGCAAACAGG